Long non-coding RNA from Glycine soja, 1540 nucleotides. RefSeq lists it as uncharacterized. The record is from RefSeq and is a predicted model, not a curated record. Lineage: Eukaryota; Viridiplantae; Streptophyta; Magnoliopsida; Fabales; Fabaceae. The transcript has 3 exons.
AAAUAUUUAAUAAAGAUGUUGGCAAACUUGAAAGUCUUCCUCUCAUUGUAGACGUUAGGAAGCUUUGGAUCAAUAAAUAAGUCUCAGAACACAAAAUUCUGAUACCACAAUACAGAAGAAAUUGAAGCUAGCAAACUCAUCAAAUGACAAUAAGUACUAGAUGUCAUUCAAGUCUUCCUCAAGGAUGCAGAUAGCAGGACUGCAGAUGAAGGAGACGACAUGAAUGAGGGGAUCAGAACAUUGGUGAAAGAUUUGAGAGAAACCUCUUUUCGCAUACAAGAUGUCAUUGAUGAAUACAUUAUCUAUGUCAGCCUGAUGCUCUUGGAUGUGCAGCUUUGCUCUGUCAGAUCAUUCACUUCAUUGAAACUUUGAUGCCUCAUCACCGAAUUGAAUCAGAGGUUCAGCAGAUUAAGUCAGUUGUUGAUGGAAUCAUGCAAAGAGUUCAAAAUUAUAACUCCCUAAAUCAACUUUUUUCUAAAAAGGACAAAGCAGUGAUGGAGGUUGCCAAAGUGUCCAACAGCAUCUCCUUUGAUCAAAUCCGCAUUUCCUUGAAGAUUCUGAAGUUGUUGGCUUUGAAGACCCCAAAGAUGAAUUGAUUGGUUGGUUAGUAGAGGGACCAGCAGAGCGCAUUGUCAUCUCUGUGGUGGGAAUGAGAGGGUUAGGAAAAACUACCCUUGCCAGCAGAGUAUUUAACAAUGGGAAGGCUGGAAAAGUUGAUGAGAGACUUGUUGAAGAAGUUAUUUGAAGAUGAAGGGAAGGAGCCUCCGCAGUAUAUUUCUGAAAUGGAUCGAGAUUCAUUGCUUGAUGCAGUGAGAAAAUAUUUGCAACACAAGAGGUCCGUUGUUAUCUUUGAUGAUGUGUGGAGUGUAAAACUUUGGACUCAAAUUGAAAAUGCCUUGCUUGAUAAUAACAAUGGAAGUAGAAUAUUAAUCACAACUAGAAGCAGGGAAGUUGUUACCUCUUGUAAGAAUUCUCCUUUUAACAAGGUGCAUGAGCUGAAACCUUUAACUUUAAAAAGUCUAUGGAACUUUUUUGCAAGAAGGCAUUCCAAUGUCACAACAAUGAACUUUUCUGAUUUUGUUGAAAAAUGUAAGGGUUUGUGUUAUGAAAGGAAUAAAGCAGCAACAAUGGACUCAGCAAGGGUUUGUGUUAUGAAAGGAAUAAAGCAGCAACAAUGAACUUUUCUGAUUUUGUUGAAAAAUGUGAAUUCUUGGACUGCAUUGUUCCCGAUGGAGGAACAGAGCACCCAAGUAUCCAUCAUGUGCCCCUUGUAACAAUUCAUACCCUUGGAGGAAAAACACGCAUUAUUCAUCACUGGAAGUCAAGCCAUUAGAAUUCAUAAAAAGGAUCUUGUAACACGAAAGCUCGAAGAGGGUGAUGAAGGAGUACAAAACCCAAUAUGUUAACCACUGCUGAUCAUCUAAGGUUGAAGGACUCUCAAUUGCCCUCAUUGAUGCGUAUCUGUUAUAAUUUACUCAUAACACAAGGAAUGUAGUUAUCAUAUGACUCCAAUAUUAAUUCAUACAGCAGAUUAUGUGCA